Molecule: ribosomal RNA, 775 nt
Filed under: uncultured Neocallimastigales
Lineage: Eukaryota; Fungi; Neocallimastigomycota; Neocallimastigomycetes; Neocallimastigales
Description: partial large subunit ribosomal RNA
Rfam family: Eukaryotic large subunit ribosomal RNA
Source: RNAcentral
UCAGACGAUGCGUCAUGCAUAUCAAUAAGCGGAGGAAAAGAAACUAACAAGGAUUCCCCUAGUAACGGCGAGUGAAGCGGGAAGAGCUCAAAUUUGAAAUCUUAAAGGGUUUCCCUUUACGAAUUGUAGUUUAAAGAAGUGUUUUCUGUUGAGGUUUUGGUAAAAGUUCUUUGGAAUAGGACAUCAUAGAGGGUGAGAAUCCCGUAUUUGACCUUUACUUUCAACUUUGUGAUACACUUUCAAAGAGUCGGAUUGUUUGGGAAUGCAGUCCAAAAUGGGUGGUAAAUUUCAUCUAAAGCUAAAUAUUGGCGAGAGACCGAUAGCGAACAAGUACCGUGAGGGAAAGAUGAAAAGAACUUUGAAAAGAGAGUUAAACAGUACGUGAAAUCGUCAAAAGGGAAGCGUUUGACACCAGUGUUGUUUUUCUGAAAAUCAAUUAAAGAACUGUUUAUGCUAAGCUGUUUAGACUUUAUCAGCUAAUCUGUUUAGUUUUGAGCUUUUCUUUAAUGCACUUUUCAGUUAACAAGUCAACAUCAAUUUCUUUUGCUGUAAAAAAGCUUGAGGAAGGUGGCUUGAGAUUCGUCUUAAGUGUUUAUAGCCUCUUGCCUAUGCAGUCGGAGAGAUUGAGGUCUGCAGCGUAGAUCCUUCGGGGCUAAAUGCAUUUGUGCUAAGUUAUAGCAUUUCAUAGACAACUUGUUGACUAUGAUUUGUCUUGUAGCUUACUCGCUUAUGUUAUUUUACCUACGCUUAGGAUGUUGAAUCUGUGCGAGACUAC